UACGUAGGGUGCGAGCGUUGUCCGGAAUUAUUGGGCGUAAAGGGCUCGUAGGCGGUUUGUCGCGUCGGGAGUGAAAUCCACUGGCUUAACUGGUGGCUUGCUUUCGAUACGGGCAGACUGGAGGUAUGCAGGGGAGAACGGAAUUCCUGGUGUAGCGGUGAAAUGCGCAGAUAUCAGGAGGAACACCGGUGGCGAAGGCGGUUCUCUGGGCAUGUCCUGACGCUGAGGAGCGAAAGUGUGGGGAGUGAACAGG
RNAcentral lists this ribosomal RNA (253 nucleotides) under uncultured bacterium. RNAcentral describes it as "partial 16S ribosomal RNA". It matches the Rfam family "Bacterial small subunit ribosomal RNA", at positions 524 to 776 of the family's 1533-position model. The record is from RNAcentral.